GACGAACGCUGGCGGCGUGCUUAACACAUGCAAGUCGAGCGGUAAGGCCCUUUCGGGGGUACGACGAGCGGCGAACGGGUGAGUAACACGUGGGUGACCUGCCCUCCAGCUCUGGGAGUAAGCCGUGGGAAACCGGGGUACCUAAUACCGGAUAUGACUCCAUGACGCAUGUUGUGGGGUGGAAAGCCUUGUGCGGCUGAGGAUGGGCCCGCGGCCUAUCAGCUUGUUGGUGGGGUGAUGGCCUACCAAGGCGACGACGGGUAGCCGGCCUGAGAGGGCGACCGGCC
RNAcentral lists this ribosomal RNA (287 nucleotides) under uncultured bacterium. RNAcentral describes it as "partial 16S ribosomal RNA". It matches the Rfam family "Bacterial small subunit ribosomal RNA", at positions 28 to 309 of the family's 1533-position model. The record is from RNAcentral.